This is a long non-coding RNA of Epinephelus fuscoguttatus (brown-marbled grouper), 1268 nucleotides long. RefSeq lists it as uncharacterized. The transcript is spliced from 3 exons. NCBI's taxonomy places the organism in Eukaryota, Metazoa, Chordata, Actinopteri, Perciformes, Serranidae. The record is from RefSeq and is a predicted model, not a curated record.
AUCUAACAUCAGUGCCAUGUGUUCCUGAGAAUGGCUGUGGGUUCAGCAGGCUGAGUGAGGCAUUCCAAACAUCCCUCUCCCCACCACACUAUGCAGCUGCUCCCGAGGGACCCCGAGCCAUUCCCAGGUCAGCUGCUUCAAGAAUCACCACCUUGAGGCCUAUGUGUCCCUGUGAUCCUGGGAGCUGUGUUGUCGGGGGUAGUAGCUCCUGGUAGGGUCUCCCAAGGCAAAAUGGUCCCAGGGGAGGGGCCAGACUUGGCAAGAAAGGAGGUGUAGCCCAGAAAAGGGGAAAAUGUGUCCCCCUUCUAGAGCCAGAUCCUGGAGGGGAGCUCGCCAGCGAGUCUCUGAUGGUUGGGCCUUGACCCAUGGGGCUUGGCUGUGGGCUACCCACUUGCAGGUGGUCUGCUAAGUUCCCAGAACCUAUGAAAACUUAUAACUGGCAGUGUGCAAACAAAUCCUCAUGAGCGGAAACCAGAAUGACAUCCUCCCAGCCAAGGUGAAUGUUAAUGGUGACCGUCCUCCAGCUUCAUUUAAAUGUCGCUACUGUAAAUCAUGACUCAUCAGUAUGUAAAGCACACAUGCAGCACAAUACUUCUGGACUGGCCACUAUGCAGAACACACAAGCACAGAUGACCUCCAUCUGCAGCUCCUUGGAAAUGUAAAACAAAUGCAAAUGAUGGAAGAAACUGUAUACGUAUUGUAGAUUAGGCCAGAAUGUCUGCUUUCUAUCAUCUGUAUGUACAUUUACAUACAACACAAGCAGCGCUCCCCUCUAUAUGUGAUGCUGUAUUUUUAAAGGAAUGACUAGCUUUUAAGCCACAGCUUUUUAGAUCAGUUGUCACCUACUGAUCAACCAGUCGUACACUAGCUGUUUUAAAUCUACCUAAAACUCUGUUCAGAAAAUUAUGAGAAUACAUGAAGUUUCCACAUGAAUCAAAGGAAAUCAAAAGUUCAAGGCUUUACAAAUCAAAUUCCAAAUUUAACCCAAGCACUCUGAUUUGCUACUUGUUGUGACUUUAUCAGUAAUUUGUUUGACUUAAUGCACUUUUAGCCUCUAAAAGAUUUGAUUAUCUGGAGAUCCAAAACAACUUAUUCUUGGUGCUGGUCAAAAUGCAAAGUUGCUUGGAAUCAUGCUGCAUGCCUUUCAUCCCUCUUCCAUGUUUGGCUUGAUGUAUACCUACUUCAUCAAUAAGGUUUAUUAAAUUAUUAUUUUAUUCCUGUAACAGUAAUCCAAUGUUUUGCAAGGAAUUUUAGAUGAUUUUGUUUCC